CCUCUGAUGCUAAGUGAUUAAGGCACUGGACUUGAAAUCCAAUGAAGUUUCCCCACGCAGCUUUAAAUCCUGCUCACAGCA
This is a non-coding RNA of Chelonia mydas (Green sea turtle), 81 nucleotides long. The record is from Rfam. NCBI's taxonomy places the organism in Eukaryota, Metazoa, Chordata, Testudines, Cheloniidae.